RNAcentral lists this ribosomal RNA (520 nucleotides) under uncultured Glomus. Its description in RNAcentral is "SSU rRNA". It matches the Rfam family "Eukaryotic small subunit ribosomal RNA", at positions 569 to 1090 of the family's 1831-position model. The record is from RNAcentral. Lineage: Eukaryota; Fungi; Glomeromycota; Glomeromycetes; Glomerales; Glomeraceae.
AGCAGCCGCGGUAAUUCCAGCUCCAAUAGCGUAUAUUAAAGUUGUUGCAGUUAAAAAGCUCGUAGUUGAAUUUCGGGGUUAGUAGGUUGGUCAUGCCUCCGGUAUGUACUGAUCUCACUGAUUCCUCCUUCCUUAUGAACCGUAAUGCCAUUAAUUUGGUGUUGCGGGGAAUUUGGACUGUUACUUUGAAAAAUUAGAGUGUUUAAAGCAGGCUAACGCUUGAAUACAUUAGCAUGGAAUAAUGAAAAUAGGACGUUCGAUCUUAUUUUGUUGGUUUCUAGGAUUGACGUAAUGAUUAAUAGGGAUAGUUGGGGGCAUUAGUAUUCAAUUGUCAGAGGUGAAAUUCUUGGAUUUAUUGAAGACUAACUACUGCGAAAGCAUUUGCCAAGGAUGUUUUCAUUAAUCAAGAACGAAAGUUAGGGGAUCGAAGACGAUCAGAUACCGUCGUAGUCUUAACCAUAAACUAUGCCGACUAGGGAUCGGAUGAUGUUAAUUUUUUAANGACUCAUUCGGCGCCUUA